CAGGCACACAGUCUCCCCGUGCCCCUGCAAGUGCCAGCUGCAGGCUGGUGCYGAGUGCAAGUCCAAGACUGUACAGAUCAGCCUGGGGGUUGCUUCCAUAUUUUCUUUUGCUUUCAAUCCCGAGGUCUGGGCUUUGGCUACGUUUCUAUCCUAGACUCUGCCUGCUAACCACAUCACCCUUAACUUGUGACAAACCUGCAUGUCAYCUUUUUUUUUUCUAGAGCAGUACUGCAGUUCUUUGAAAAAAUGAAGACCUCUACAAGUACUUGUAACGACGUGCUCCAUGAACGAGUUUGUUCUCAGUCACCGCUCGGCUCAUGCGUAGGGAGCUCUUGUGACUAUGAAAGACAGACUCCUCUGAGAUCAUAGUUCUCUGCCAUUUACUAGGAUGACAGUGUAUCUAUGGAAGGAAGUCUCCUAAAUAAGACCAGAGAUGUUACUCCAUUCCAUUCCCGUUGCCUGGAAUCCCCAUGAACAUUAUGGAGGAAGAAGUGUCUCCGGCAAACCAGCAAUAUGUCCACUUCUGGAUUCAGAUGGAACAACUGAAAACUAUCAUCCCUGGCUGAAAAUUACUACACACACAAUUUUCUCUGCAUCAUGGAAAGUAUGAUAGCUCCCUGGGCCACCWCAGUACAAAGUCAGCCAGGAUAGCUCAAACACCCUUCAUCGAUUAAAGCUAAGGSAACCAAGUUUGCACUAAAGAAUGUCC
Molecule: long non-coding RNA, 709 nt
Filed under: Dromaius novaehollandiae (emu)
Lineage: Eukaryota; Metazoa; Chordata; Aves; Casuariiformes; Dromaiidae
Description: lncRNA (ENSDNVG00000004697.1)
Source: RNAcentral